Molecule: ribosomal RNA, 467 nt
Filed under: uncultured bacterium
Lineage: Bacteria
Description: bacterial SSU rRNA
Rfam family: Bacterial small subunit ribosomal RNA
Source: RNAcentral
GAUGAACGCUAGCUACAGGCUUAACACAUGCAAGUCGAGGGGCAGCACAGUGUAGCAAUACAUGGGUGGCGACCGGCGCACGGGUGCGUAACGCGUAUCCAACCUUCCCGUUACUCAGGGAUAGCCUUCCGAAAGGGAGAUUAAUACCUGAUGGUGUUCAAAUUCCGCAUGUUAUUUGAACUAAAGAUUUAUCGGUGCAGGAUGGGUCCGCGUCUGAUUAGCCAGUUGGUGGGGUAACGGGCCCACCAAAGCGACGAUCAGUAGCCGGCCUGAGAGGGUGGACGGCCACAUUGGGACUGAGACACGGCCCAGACUCCUACGGGAGGCAGCAGUGGGGAAUAUUGCGCAAUGGGGGAAACCCUGACGCAGCAACGCCGCGUGAAGGAAGAAGGUCUUCGGAUUGUAAACUUUUGUCUUCAGGGAAGAUAAUGACAGUACCUGAGGAGGAAGCUCCGGCUAACUACGUG